AUGGACAUCAUACUUUGGCGAAUCGACAACGAUGACUCAGUGCUGGCUUCAUGGUUCAGGCUCAAGUAUCCCCAUGUCGCCAUAGGAGCACUGGCAUCCUCUGCUCCGAUCCUGCAGUUCGACGACAUCACCCCAUGGUCUAGCUUCAACGACGUUGUCUCGCAGGACUUCAAGUCUGAGAGCCUGAAUUGCUUCAGUGUCAUCAAGGCAGUUUGGGAUGUGCUAGAUGAGAGGGGAUCAAACGAGACAGGGCUCUUGGAGCUCAGCAAAAACUUCAGGACCUGCAAGACAGUGCAUUCCGUUUCUCGUCUGGGGUUGUGGCUAAGGGCAGCAUUCACCACCACUGCCAUGGUGGACUAUCCAACCCCAGCCAAUUUCAUGAUGAAUCUGCCUGCUUAUCCUGUGAAGGAGAUGUGCAAGAUCAUUGAUACUUUUCCCCCCGGAGCAGACGUCAUCGACAAAGCUUUCGCUGCGGCGAGCCUAUACUACAAUUACACAGGCGACCAGAAGUGCUUCGAGGUGGAGGGUGGUGAUGACCCUCAUGCCCUCCACGGCUGGGGCUGGCAGGCCUGCACUGAGAUGUUCAUGCCGAUGACAGUGUCGAACGAGAGCAUGUUCCCACCGUCCAGCUUCAUGCCUGAGAAGAGGUCCGAGGGCUGCUUUAUGUUCUACGGAGUUCGUCCAAGGAUGCACUGGAUCACUACUCAAUAUGGUGGCCAUAAAAUUGACAAGGUUCUCAAGAGGUUUGGGAGCAACAUCAUCUUCUCCAACGGGAUGCGAGACCCGUGGAGUGGAGGCGGGGUGCUCAAGAAAAUAUCAUCCAGCAUCAUUGCUCUCGUCACAGAGAAAGGGGCCCAUCAUUUGGACCUCAGAUCUGCAACCAAGGAUGAUCCAGACUGGGUUGUAGAACAAAGGAGACAGGAAGUUGAGAUCAUACAUGGAUGGAUAGAUCAGUAUAACAAGGACAUUGCACGGAUGUAG
RNAcentral lists this ribosomal RNA (981 nucleotides) under Triticum aestivum (bread wheat). RNAcentral's name for it is "partial small subunit ribosomal RNA". Lineage: Eukaryota; Viridiplantae; Streptophyta; Magnoliopsida; Poales; Poaceae. The record is from RNAcentral.